CAACCCCGCGUGAGGGAUGAAGGCCUCUGGGCUGUAAACCUCUUUUAUCAAGGAAGAAGAACUGACGGUACUUGAUGAAUAAGCCACGGCUAAUUCCGUGCCAGCAGCCGCGGUAAUACGGGAGUGGCAAGCGUUAUCCGGAAUUAUUGGGCGUAAAGCGUCCGCAGGCGGUUUUACAAGUCUGUCGUUAAAGCGUGGAGCUCAACUCCAUUUCAGCGAUGGAAACUGUAAGACUCGAGUGUGGUAGGGGCAGAGGGAAUUCCCGGUGUAGCGGUGAAAUGCGUAGAUAU
Molecule: ribosomal RNA, 290 nt
Filed under: uncultured bacterium
Lineage: Bacteria
Description: partial 16S ribosomal RNA
Rfam family: Bacterial small subunit ribosomal RNA
Source: RNAcentral